This 5962-nucleotide long non-coding RNA is filed under the name Homo sapiens (human). RNAcentral's name for it is "COX10 divergent transcript". Lineage: Eukaryota; Metazoa; Chordata; Mammalia; Primates; Hominidae. The record is from RNAcentral.
ACUUCCGGCGGGCGGGCUCCGAAAGGAGAGCGUGGUGUCUGGAGGUGAUCGGAAGGGACUGGCUGGAGUGUGGCGGGCUGACAGGUCUGAGGCCUGAAGGACUUCCGGGAACCGCAAAGCACGGUGUGCCUCCGCUGUCCUGAAGAAAAAGCCGCGCGCGGACGACUGGCCGGCCCGCGCUUGCAGCUCCCAGAAGUUGACAGGCAUCCUCCGGUGACCGGUGUGAGUAUGGCAUCAGGAUGAUUUGACUGCAAGCAACAGAAAAAUCAAACAAAAAUGGCCUAAGCCAAGAAGAGAAAUGAUUAUUUCACAUUCCAAGAAGUUUGGGAGUCGAGUGGUUAAACGGCUAAUUAAUCUAGAGCUCAACAGUAUCACCCAGGACCCAUUUUCACUAUGGUGGCUAAAGCUCUGCACCCUUCAGGCUUGCACCAUGGCAGCAGCAGUGACAGUAAAGACACCCUUACACCACAAUGCUCCAUGACCAGGGAGAGGGUCUCCUCUCUCCUGCCCCUUUCUGGAGGCUCCACCGAAGAUUUCUCUUCACAUUCCGUUUCUCAUUCCUGAAGCAGUUGCUGGCAACAGGGAUGGACUUACCGCAAUGGGUACAGAGCAACUAAGAUUCACCACUAGGUGAGUCCUUUGGAAAACACUUGGCCAUCCAAUAUAUAAACAAAUCUGGUACUCCUGUCAGGAAAGAGGUAGGUAAUUCCCAACAGCCAAUAGUGUCUGCCACAAGUGAAAUAUCUCAUCAGAGAAAACUGAGUAGGUAAUACAUGAUUCUGUGUUUUCUCUGUUUUCUGCCUUUGCUUUUUCCAUUUGGUAAGACUCACCUGUGUUCCUCUUUGUGGCUCUUUCUCCUUGAUAAUACAACCCUGGUUUAGUUCAGAUACAGGUGGCAAUAGGCCAGAAUUUGUCCUAGGAGACAAAUUCGUGAUGAGCCUCGCAAAGUCAUGACAAUCCCAAUUCCAUUUGCCAGUGAACCAUUUAGGGAUGGCCACGUGACUCAGUUCUGGUCACCAAGGUGGUGGAAGAGAAGUUCUCUUGAGGGGCAUCUGGGAAAGAUUCUUCUGCCUGAUAAAACAGGAGGUAAGCAAGGGUUCUGCUCCCCCAUUUGUUUCUGCCUUUGAACGUGGCUGUGGGAAGACAUGAUGCUUAGUGUUGCUGCAGCUAUCUCAUGACCUUGGGCAAAACAUCCCAACACACAGGAGGGCCAAACAAGCAGUCAGAAGAAGCCUGAGUCUUGUGGGUGUUGUUGAGCAGCUGAACAAACCCUAGGAUGGCUUCCUUCCAGACUUCUUAGGAUUGCGAACAAUGAAGCUCUAUUGUUUAAGCAAGGUAUCGAUGGCUAUUUUCACUUGCCACUGAAAGCACCAGGACAGAGAAUCGUCUUUCUAGGAAUACAGCCACAAAAGCCUUCAUUAUGGUAUAUGCACAUAAAGAAUAUAAAAGUUUCCUUUAUGUUUCUCUUUAAAAUAUAGCUGAAGUCUGCCUCAGGCAAAAAGACAAACAGAAAACAUAAAUGCAUACAUAAUUCAAGAACAAUAAAUAUUUAUUUUAAAAUGAAUAAAUGUUCUGCAGGAUAUUGUAAUAGUUUUCUCAGGGAAUAUAUUUUUCUAAUACUUAUAUCAACUAACAGUAUUUCUGUGGCAUCUCCAGGUCCUCUGUGUUUAAGUCCUCCCUAGAAACUGCAUUUCUCUCCUUUUUCCUGCUACUUUGGAUCUCAAAUGUGCCUAAAAAGAAAUACUUUUAACUUCUCUGGUUUUUCUUUUUUCAAAUAUUAACUUGUAACUUGCAGUUGUAACAUGGUUGUUGCUAGCUAGCUGUCAAGUAUUUGUCCAAAAAUGUGUUCCUAGAAUACCUUCAUCUUACAGUCACUCAAUCCAUAAUAGAGUUUAAACAUUUUUCCAUAAUAUUUCACAGAAUAUUCAUGUUUUUACAUAAAAAACACUUUUAAUAUAUGAACUAUCUGCAACACACAGCAAAAUCCCAGUUAUAUGACAUCAAUAGCCAUAUACUAAAAUACACCUAACAAUAUUCAUAUUAAACUCAAAUUUAAUAUAUGUUAAUAUGUAGGCAUAUUUACUUAUACAUAAAGCUGUAGAUUUCUCUCUAUCCUUCCCCCGUACUUCCCAGAGGUAACCAUUGUAUUGAUGAUGAUGUUGAUGACAGCAACAAUGAUGAUGAUAAUGAUGGUAAUAAAAACCGCAAAUUUGCUGUAUGCCAGGCAGUAUUCUAAGCACUUUACAUACAUUAACUCCUUAAAUGUCCACCGCAGACAUAUGACAUAGAUACUAUUAUUAUCCUUCAUUUUAUAGAUGAGAGGUUGAGAAAAAAAUUGGUUAAGCAGCUUGUCCAAGGCCACACAGCUGGUGUGCCAGGAUUCCAACACAGGCAAUCUGGCCCUGGAGCCCUUUGCCGUAUCCCAUUGCUAUAUGGAUAUUGCUGUGUAUCAUUAUAUACUUUCUCUAAACAUGUAUGCAACCAUAAAAAGCUAUACAUAGGAUUUCUCUCCUUUUUAAAAAGUAUAUAAUCUUAUAACAUUUAUGGGGUCUUUUUCCAGUUAUUUUGCUAUUAUGAAAAAUGUUGCAAUGAAUAGUCUUGAAUAUACAUCCUUGUGCAUUUACUCUCUGGUAAACAUCUAGAAGCCAAAUUUCUGCUUGGUAGAUUACUCAUAUUAACAUUUUUUUUUUAGUUAUUCCAAAAUUGCUCUUCAAAGUAAUUGUACCAAUUUGCAGUUCUGCCAGCACUGUAUAAGUUUUCCAUUUCUCGCUAACUCCAUCAAUUCUUUGUAUCAUUGAGUUCGCUGAUUUUUGCUAAUCUGACUGAUGUGAGGUGGUAUUUCAUUAUUCUCAUUUGCACUCUUCUUUGAUUGCUAGAGAGGUAAGAGCAUCUUUUCAUAUGCUUGUUAUCUAUUUAUGCUUAUUUUUUUCUUGGAUUUUCAUUUUGUCUGAUUUUAAACGAAUUCUAUGACAUUCUGCUGAAUAAAGUGAGUUACAUAGGUUGUAAACACCUUCCCAUGGUAGCUAUUGACCUUCUUUUUGUUGUCAUCUUGAUACAUGGAAGUAUUUAGUUUAAUGUAGUUACAUUCUCAAUACUUUCUUUUCUCAAUAUGGUUUAUGCUUUUAGCAUUAUAAGUAAUAUGGCAGUACUCAGAUGUCAUCAAGAUAUUCUUCUAUAUAUUCUUUUUAAAUUUAGCUUUUCACAUUUAGGCAACUUUGAGUAUGCUAUGAAGUAGUACCCAAUUUUACCGUCUUUCAUAUAAAUACUUGAAUCUAUCUUUUUCUAUAUGGUGAUGUCUCAGCAUCAUUUAAUGAAGACUCUCAUUCUUUGCCCAGUGAUUUGUGAUGUUAUCUCUGUCAUAUUCCACAUUUACAUAUCUAAGUGGUUUUAUUCGUACGCUCUCUAUUCCCUGUGGCAAUAUCACAUUGUUUAGUAUAGUUUUACAUGAUAAUGUAGUAUCAAUAUUCAAAAGGAUAACCACCCUGCUUUUUUCUUUUCCUCCUUCUCUGCCUCCUUCUCCUCCUUCUUCUUUGCAAUUGUCUAGCCUAUUCUUGAAUUUUUAUUCUUUCAUAUGCAUUUAAGAAUCAUCUUGUCAAGUUCUUCGAAAAACCCUACUGAAAUUUUUAUUGAAAUUGUAUUGAAUUUAUAUGUGAAUUUGGGAAAAAUUGUCUUUUUUUUUUUUUUGACGGAGUCUCGCUCUGUCACCCAGGCUGGAGUGCAGUGGUACAAUCUCAGCUCACGGCAAACUCGGCCUUCUAGAUUCACGCCAUUCUCCUGCCUCAGCCUCCCAAGUAGCUGGGACUACAGGCACCCACCACCUGGCCUGGCUAAUUUUUUUUGUAUUUUUAGUAGAGACGGGGUUUCACCAUGUUAGCCAGGAUGCUCUCGAUCUCCUGACGUCGUGAUCCGCCAGCCUCGGCCUCCCAAAGUGCUGGGAUUACAGGCGUGAGCCACAGCGCCCGGCCAAUUUCACAAAUAGAUUUUUUUUCUUACUGUAAAUCUUAGCAAGCUCAGCAUACGAAUUUUUUUUUCCUUAAAUUGAAAGCUUUUACCCUUUCACUUAAAGGCAGCACUUUAUGGCUUCUCUUGGGCAUAUCCAAAUUGCUACCAUCACUACUCGUAUUAGUCCAUUUUCACGCUGCUGAUAAAGACAUACCUGAGACUGAGAAAUUUACCAAAUAAAGAGGUGUACUGGACUUACAGUUCCACAUGGCUGGGGAGGCCUCACAAUCAUGGUGGAAGGCAAGAAGGAGCAAGUCAUGUCUUACAUGGAUGGCAGCUGGCAAAGAGAAAGCUUGUACAGGGAGACUCCCGUUUUGAAAACCAUCAGAUCUUGUGAGACUCAUUCACUAUUACAAGAACAGUGCAGGAAAGAUGCACCCCUGUACUUCAAUCACCUCCCAGCAGGUUCCUCCCACGACAUGUGGGAAUUGUGGGAGUUACAAUUCAAGAUGAGAUUUGGUUGGGGACACAGCCAAACCAUAUCACUACUCUUGUGCUUUGGGGCCAUUAUGAAGUAAAACAAGCAUUAUUUGAACACAAGAACUGCAAUACCACCACAGUAGAUCUGAUAACUGUUGGCUACUAAGUGACUAAGGGGCAGGUGAAGUAUACAGCUUGGAUGCGAUGGACAAAGAGGAAGAUCUACCUCCCAGCUGGGAUGGAGCAGGACGAUGCAAGAUUUCAUCACACUACUCAGAAAGGCAUGCAGUUUAAAGCUCGUAAAUUAUUUCAGGAAUUUUCCAUUUAAUAUUUUCAGGCUGUGGCUGACCGUGAGUAACAAACCCAGGAAAGCGAAACUGCAGAACAGUGGAUGGGAGAAAGGGUGAAUUACUGUAUAUUCAUGAGGGAUAUUAGUCCAUAGUUUCUUUUUUCCCUUUUAACAAAUUUUUGGGUUUUGUAUAUAGUUUGUCUGGUUUUGGUAUCAGGGUAAUACUAGCUUCAUAAAAUGAAUUGGAAAGCGUUUCUUCUGUUUUCCUAAAAAGAUUAUAUGGAAUUAGCAUUCAUUCUUUAAACACUUGGUAGAAAUCUUAAGUAAAACCAUCUGAGCUCGGAGAUUUUUUUGUGUGUGUUAUAAAAUUACAUAUUCAGUUUCCUUAAUAUUUAUAAGAUCAUUUUAAUUAUCUGUGUUUUUCAGUGAAACGGGUCAAUUUUCUGUAUGUUGUCAAAUUAAUAUUUGUAGAAUUGUAUUAGUAUUCUUCAUUAUCCUUUUGAUGUCUGCAGAAUCUGUAAUGGUAUCCCUGUUUUAUUUCUGAUAUUAAUUUGUGCCAUUAUGUCUUUUUUUCUUUGUUGAUCUUGUCAGAAGUUUGUCAAUUUUAUCAAUUUGUUCCAAGAACCAGCUCAUUGAUUUGGUUUCAGUUUCAUUGAUUUCUACUUUUAUCUUUAUUAUUUCCUUCUUUUUCUUGCUUUUGGUAUAUUUUGUGCUUCUUUUUCUAGGUUCUAGAGGUGGAAGCAUACGUUAUUGAUUUGAGACCUUUCCUCUUUUCUAAUGUGAGCAUUUUAGUUACAUUUAGUUCCCUCCUAGGACUACUUUAAUUGGAUUAUUGAGAGGUGUUGAAGUCUCCAACUGUAUUUGUGGAUUUAUUUAUUUUUCCUUUCAGUUCUAUUAGUUUUAGCUUCACAUUAUUUUGCAGCUCUGAUGUUUAAAGGUGCAUGAACAUUUAGGCUCACUAUGUCUCAGUGAAUUGACCCUUUUAUCAUUACGUAAUAUUCCUCUCAGUCUCUGGUCAUUUUCUUUGUGCUGAAAUAUACUUUAUCUGAUAAUAUAAUGACUGUUCCCUGUAGAUUAAUAUUUUCAGGAUGUAUCAUUUUUAUUUUUUUAUUUUCAACCUGCCUGUAAUCAUUAUAUUUGCAGUGAAUUUUUUCUAGACACUGUAUAGUUGAAUCAUUUAAAAAAGUCUGCUCUGGCAAUGUGUCUUUUAAUUGGUGUAUUUAGAUCAUUACAUUUAAUAUAUUUACUGAU